UAAAAGUUUAAUACAAUAAGUAUUCCAAAAGCUAUUACAUCAAAUGAGUGGCUUUGUGGGCAUACUUCCAACACCAUCAUGUCCAAAAAGGUUCCUGGUCAUAUGAUUGUCAGAGGGAUACUGACAAUGCAAAGACCAGUACAUACUGUGUCCCCUUCAAUUGGAAGGAUGGAAAGUCUUAUCCCAUUCGUGUAGUGACCCUAAGACAGGUAUGUAGGUGCUCAUUAAGGGAAUGAGUUCACUGAACACAAUCGAACGAGAGUACUUGCAUGGAGGUCUACUCACAUGUCAAGCAAGUAACUCUAAUGGUUGGAAUAAUGUAAGUAGUCAUUUGACCUGAGGCAUCAUAGUUGUCUUGUGGUUAGGUCCUUGAUCUUUGAUUAUGUCAAAGUCACUCCAUUCGCGGGUGUCCACGGCAUAGUUGGGGUUAAGCCACUUAGCCAUGGAGGCAAUUAAAUGCGCAACAAGGGAUCUCUAAUCCUCGUUAUGAGAGGAAGAAUACUCUAAGAUAUGAUUCAGGAAUCUUCGGCCGAAGUAUCGAGCGUAAUAAAGGAAAGCGUUCCUAUACGACUCAAUUGAAUCAUAUAACAUGGAAUAAUCACAUUAGGGGUAUGACAUAAUAUAUCCAUACCCUAAUAGUGUGAUUGAGAGUAUUGUUUUAGAGAAGGAUCGAAUUACAUUGUAAUUCCAACUGAAUAGGUUCUCCGAACAAAUUCUACAUUAGCUUAGGUAGCCAUGAUAUAUGGCUAGAUGUCACUCAUGGCUUGUGAGUUCUUCUAGAUGAUUAAAUGUAGUCGUGAAAGAAGAAGGUGAAUUAAAAGUAAGUUUUAAUUCACUAAGUGAUUGGAUUAAAUAUAAUCAAUUGGAUUGGUGUCAAUCACCUCACUGCCUUGCUAAUUAGAACCUAAAAUGAUUGUACACCGAUACACUUUUGUAGUGAGUAACUAAUGGAUGAUGGAAAUAAUAAAAGCGAUAAAAUAUCGUUUUGGGCUUAAAGAAAAGUUCGGGUUAAUAUGGGCCCAUUAAGCCCAAACCCAUUGGGCUUUUAUUUAAGCAUAGGAUGACUUGAAAUAAUAAAAGCCCAAAGCCCAAACAACACUAAAGGGGGCCGGCCAAAUAAAGGGAAAGGGAGAGAGAGGAAGUCAAGUUGUUGACUUGUUUCUUUGUAUUAUAAAAUGAACUUUAUAGUGAAAAAUUCAUUAGGGUUUUGUGUGUUGUUUUCACAAAAGGAAGAAAACAUCUCUCUCUCUAAAACCAUACAAGGCCGGCCACCAUAAGGGAGAUUUAGCUAAUCAUCUUCUCUACCUUUUGGUUAUUCCUCCAUCCAUCUCACUACACUAGUGGGUGUGGAUCUUUAGAGGUCUUCAAUCUUGGAGACUAAAGGAGAACCAAGGAGCACUCAUUCUAACAAAGUGGAGGAGGCGAGGAGGGAAGCUAGGCUCAAGGAGUUCAAGGAACAAAGGGCUUGGAGGUGGUCCAUCCUUGGUCUAAAGUCUAGAUCAAG
This 1504-nucleotide long non-coding RNA is filed under the name Malus domestica (apple). Its description in RNAcentral is "long non-coding RNA (MDOM_LNC009228)". The record is from RNAcentral. Lineage: Eukaryota; Viridiplantae; Streptophyta; Magnoliopsida; Rosales; Rosaceae.